UCGUUGGUCAGAAGGUUCCAAUCAUCGUUUUAUGUCAUCAUUUCCGAGCAGCGUCAACCACAACUGUUAUUACACCCUGUUUACUUUGGCGGCGGUAAAGGCCGUUUUUAUUGUGCUGUAACUAAAACUAGAAGAUCUGGCGUCCUUUCCCUUCGCCAAAGCGUACAUUUCCGGGGAGCCCGUGGCAUGGUGUCGUGACAGUUGAGGGAGAGGCUGAAAGCGGUGGCUAGCGAUGCGCUGUGACUGGGUCGGGGAUGUUAGGCGAUGGAGAACAAAGUGUGGGGCAUGGUGGUACAAAUAAAUGGGGAGAUAAUGUGAGUAGGAGUUUGAAGGGGAGAGAGAGGUAUGCGAGGCAGCAAAGGACGUUUGAAGAGAGCAACAGUUUCCAGCGGCAGUUCUGGGGUCGAGAGUGCAGAGGAAGGGCAAGGUGCAUCGCGAGGUGAGGAGGAGCAUAAAGUGAUUAUGAGCUUUAAGGGAGGAAGGGGAAUUUGGGGCGACGAGUCCGAUAAGGUUGACGGCUGUGAUAAAGUAGUUGAUUGGGGAAAUUGUCAACGCUAAAGUGUUACUAGAUGGGAGCUUGUUGGUGUUCUGUAAGGACAAUGCGCAGAGGGGGAAAAGCUCUUGAGUGAAGCAAAUAGGGAAGUGUAAGGUGGUGUCGAGCAGCUGGACUGAUCAUGCAGGAAAACAGUGGAUUAAAGGGGUGAUAACAGGAGUGCCUGUGAGUGUUGGCACUAAAGAGGUAAGGGACAACUUGAGAUGAGUUAUUCUAGUAAAUGAUCAAAUAUAGCAAGAAACAAGGGGUUGGAGUUAGGGUAGAUGGCCCGUUUAUUCUGUUACACUUCAAGGACCGGGUACUGCCAAAUAAAGUAACCCUAGGAUACAUGAGUUAUUAUAAACUGGAUGGUUUGAGCCCUGAAUUCUGAUUGGCUGAAGGCCAUAGUAUAUCAGACUGUAUACCACUGGUCUGACAAAACAUUUCGUUUUACUGCUCUGAUUACAUUGGUAACCAGUUUAUAAUAGCAAUAAGGCUCCUUAGCCUGAUGUGAUUUGUGUGCAGGAAACAUGGCUCGUAGGGACGAGGGACAGGGGUGGGGGGUGCCACUUUCAUAAAGCAAGGACUUUCUUAUAGGAUGCUAGGCAGAGGUAUUGAACAGGAAUAUGUAGUAGAUGAGGGGUGGUAGUAAACUACUAUAACCCGUGUCAGAUAUUAGACCUGGAAGUGCUGGAGAGGGUGGAGGGCCACAGGGAAAGAGUCUGCCUUGGACCUCACUCUGGUAUCUAGUGUGAUGGCAGGAAUCUGUGAGUGGGAGGUAAGGGAGGAGUAGGGAGUGAUCACUACUAUGCACAGUAGGCCGGAGGGAAGAGGUUCCAGUGGAUGGAGUAGGCAGGUGGGUGUUUGGAAGGGCAAAGUGGGAUCAGUUUCAGGAGCUGAGUGAGCAGGUGAUGGCUCGGGUGGAUAUGAGAGGGGAUGUGGACAGUAUGAAUAACUGGGUGAGAACAGCGUUAGUGGGGGCAGCUACUGAGGCGAUACCUAAGAGUUCAGGGAGGAGGAGGAAAGCAGUCCCGUGGUGGACGAAGGAGUGUGGGGCAGUUGUGAGGAAUAGAAACAAGACAUUUAGAGUACUGAAAAGGACGUAUAACUUCCAACACCUGAUUCAGUAUCAGCAGGCCCUGGUGAGGAGAACUAUCCCUCAGUCUGAUUCAGUAUCAGCAGACCCAGGCCCUGGUGAGGAGAACUAUCCCUCAGUCUGAUUCAGUAUCAGCAGGCCCUGGUGAGGAGAACUAUCCCUCAGUCUGAUUCAGUAUCAGCAGGCCCUGGUGAGGAGAACUAUCCCUCAGUCUGAUUCAGUAUCAGCAGACCCAGGCCCUGGUGAGGAGAACUAUCCCUCAGUCUGAUUCAGUAUCAGCAGGCCCUGGUGAGGAGAACUAUCCCUCAGUCUGAUUCAGUAUCAGCAGGCCCUGGUGAGGAGAACUAUCCCUCAGUCUGAUUCAGUAUCAGCAGACCCAGGCCCUGGUGAGGAGAACUAUCCCUCAGUCUGAUUCAGUAUCAGCAGGCCCUGGUGAGGAGAACUAUCCCUCAGUCUGAUUCAGUAUCAGCAGGCCCUGGUGAGGAGAACUAUCCCUCAGUCUGAUUCAGUAUCAGCAGGCCCUGGUGAGGAGAACUAUCCCUCAGUCUGAUUCAGUAUCAGCAGGCCCUGGUGAGGAGAACUAUCCCUCAGUCUGAUUCAGUAUCAGCAGGCCCUGGCCCUGGUGAGGAGAACUAUCCCUCAGUCUGAUUCAGUAUCAGCAGACCCAGGCCCUGGUGAGGAGAACUAUCCCUCAGUCUGAUUCAGUAUCAGCAGGCCCUGGCCCUGGUGAGGAGAACUAUCCCUCAGUCUGAUUCAGUAUCAGCAGGCCCUGGUGAGGAGAACUAUCCCUCAGUCUGAUUCAGUAUCAGCAGGCCCUGGUGAGGAGAACUAUCCCUCAGUCUGAUUCAGUAUCAGCAGGCCCUGGUGAGGAGAACUAUCCCUCAGUCUGAUUCAGUAUCAGCAGGCCCUGGUGAGGAGAACUAUCCCUCAGUCUGAUUCAGUAUCAGCAGGCCCUGUUGAGGAGAACUAUCCGUCAGGCGAAUUGGUCAUGUUGGUGUUGGUUCUGUAACACCAUUGGAAGGGCGACACCUGUGGGAAAAGUAUGGGGGAUGAUCAAGAGGAUGAGUCUGGUCAGAAGGGAGUGGGAGACUACAGAAAGAUAGGGAGGGUGUUGAUCCAUCUGGAGAGACUACAGAAAGAUAGGGAGGGUGUUGAUCCAUCUGGAGCGACUACAGAAAGAUGGGGACUGUGCCCUGCGACCCAAUGUACACCUGGCCCACCAUCGAUCUGGACUGUCUCUAUGACCAUGUUCACCUGUACAGGGAGACACUCCCCAUCCUUGCCAAGACUCUCAAGGACGUCGCUUUAAACCGCAGUCCGACCUCUCCACCCAGGAACAGCAGAGCAAUCUCCACCCCGAAAAAGAUCACCGGGACAAUACCCCGGACCAGCACCCUGGGACUCCCAGCCACGACCACAGCCCAGCUUCAGAGCCACCCAGACGAGGCCUCCCACCCCCCCCCCCCCCCACCGCAGACCCACACUUGGAGGAGCCACAGCCCAGCAGGCACAGGCUGUGAGAGGAGCAUCUGGCCCAGCCCCCACCAACCAAAUGAGUGACAUUAAACAUGCUGAGUCUACUAUGCUCACAUGUGAUAGGCCGAGGGUCAUGGUCACUAAUGGUACCAGGUGUGUGACUGGUAGUGGGCUUGCUGACGGAGAACAGAUGGAGAGGUUGUGGUCCUACGUUAGAACAUUUGUGAAGAUCACAAAAGAGAUGACACCAACUCAUCGUGUUGACGCCCUCAAAGAUGCCCUCUACUACACAUCCAGGGUCAGGGAGAAGCAAGGUAUAACUGUAUAACUGGAAAUCAGCAGCACCCAGUCGGACGUGGAAGAUUGGACCCGUCGGAUGGAGACCCUCACAGACAAGAGGACGUUGUUCCUUACCUGGCAGGAGAGAUGCGUGGAAACUCUCGCAGAACAACAAUGGACAAACCAUUGCUGUGUGGCUCUCCAGAAAAAUCAAGCGGACAUCGGAGAGAAUAAAACUGCAGAUCAACGCCUGAAGAUGCAUAACAUGUGCCUUAGAGCAGCAGAGGAGAGGCACACAAUACAGGCAGACCUACACAUUUACAUUUACAUUUAAGUCAUUUAGCAGACGCUCUUAUCCAAUGGCCUUUUGUAUUGCCAGCAAGAGCUGGGGCGUUUUAAAGAUGCAUAACAUGUGCCUUAGGGCAGCAGAGGAGAGGCACACAAUACAGGCAGACCUACACAAUGGCCUUUUGUAUUGCCAGCAAGAGCUGGGGCUUUUUAAAGAUGCAUAACAUGUGCCUUAGAGCAGCAGAGGAGAGGCACACAAUACAGGCAGACCUACACAAUGGCCUUUUGUAUUGCCAGCAAGAGCUGGGGCUUUUUAAAGAUGCAUAACAUGUGCCUUAGAGCAGCAGAGGAGAGGCACACAAUACAGGCAGACCUACACAAUGGCCUUUUGUAUUGCCAGCAAGAGCUGGGGCUUUUUAAAGAUGCAUAACAUGUGCCUUAGAGCAGCAGAGGAGAGGCACACAAUACAGGCAGACCUACACAAUGGCCUUUUGUAUUGCCAGCAAGAGCUGGGGCUUUUUAAAGAUGCAUAACAUGUCAAAUGCAGAACAUAUUUAAGCUCCAGCAAGCAUUUUCAAAUGUUUGCUGAUGAUGGCACGGUCAGCACAGAUGUAAAAGAGGACAGUGAAUCAGAAGAUGAAAGUGGUUGAGGUGUGUGUGUGUGUGUGUGUGUGUGUGUGUGUGUGUGUGUGUGUGUGUGUGUGUGUGUGUGUGUGUGUGUGUGUGUGAGAGAGAGAGAGUUUUAUAGGGCAAACUAUACAGAGUAUUUCUAACAUUAGGAACAACUUCCUAAUAUUGAGUUGCACCCCCCCCCAGCCCCCCUUUUGCCCUCAGAACAGACUCAAAUCGUCAGUGAACCUGUACCCCCGCACAUUGACCCGGUACCGGUACCCCCUGUAUUUAGCCUCGUUAUCGUUAUUUAAUAGUUACUUUUUUAAACUUUAUUUAGUAAAUGCAUUUUCUUAACUCUAUUUUCUUAACUGCAUUGUUGUAUAAGGGCUUGUAAGUAAGUAUUUCAUGGUCAAGUUUACACCUGUUGUAUUCGGCGCAUGUGACAAAUGCAAUUUGAUUUGGCUCUACAAUGUGUCGAAGCGUUCCACAGGGAUGCUGGCCCAUGUUGACUCCAAUGCUUCCCACAGUUGUGUCAAGUUGGCUGGAUGUCCUUUGGGUGGUGGACCAUUCUUGACACACUUGUGAAAAACCCAGCAGCGUUGCAGUUCUUGACACAACGGUGCGCCUGGCACUUACUUCCAUAACCCUGUUCGAAGUCAUUUAAAUAAUUUGUCUUGCCCAUUCACCCUUCUGAAGGGCACACAAUCCACGUCGCAAUUGUCUCAAGGCUUAGAAAUCCUUUAACCAUUCUCCUCCCCUUCAUCUACACUGAUUUAAAUGUAUUUAACAAGUGACGUCAAUGAGGGAUCAUAUCUUUCACCUGGAAUCACCUGGUCAGUUUACAUAAUGGAAAGAGCAGGUGUCCUUAAUGUUUAUUACACUCAUUGUAUAUGUUUGUCAUACUUGGGACAAAUAGGAUGUUAUGCUGAAAAAUAUGUCGGUCAGACAAGACUAUGUAUGUUCGUGCACAUGGAAGUCAGUGAUUUAUGUUACCUAUACUGUAGGUUAAUGAGGCAAUACAAAUGUGAUGUGACCAACAUAUGGAUUAAAUGAAAGGGCCGAGAUUCAUCAAAACCUUAAGAAGACAUUUCUUAACUGUCUUGGGAAGAAGUUUUUUUUAACUCAAAAAGGUUAUUGGAAAUGUUAUUGUGCAAUUUAUUAUAUUUCCCAUUCAGCAUAAAGUUGGGAAGGAAUUAGAUUCUUGAAAAUUAUGUUAUUGGAUUUGUUCUUAAUUCCAAGAUGGCUAAACUCUUGUAUUAAACUCGGUGAGAGAAUAAGCUCAUGUUUAAUUCACUCACAAACUUCA
Oncorhynchus keta (chum salmon) is the source of this 5589-nucleotide RNA transcript. RefSeq lists it as uncharacterized. Lineage: Eukaryota; Metazoa; Chordata; Actinopteri; Salmoniformes; Salmonidae. The transcript has 7 exons. The record is from RefSeq and is a predicted model, not a curated record.